CCACUACAAAAAUUUGCUUCAAAGCCCGACGCACUUCCUGGGGGCUCGGUUUGAACUCCAAAAUAUAUUAAUAAAUGUUCAGAUAAUUGCCUGUGUUUAAUGGUGGUGCAAUGGUUCAACAAGCCCACAGUUCAGUCUUAAAGUCAUUGAAGGGUUAAUAUUUUUACGGUGCGGUUUUACAUCCCUAUUAUAUUUAUAUACCCAAAUCACAAGUUUGUCUCGGAGGGCUUGAAUCAGAAAAAAAACACGUCAACUUGAAGAACAUGUUAGAAAAACCUGAUGUAACUGGAGUGAGUUUCCAACAAAUAGUGUGACUCUGUCGAUGUAUCCUCAUUAGACCCAACUGUCUCUUUGCUAUCUGUGGACUUAAUCAGUGCCUUCAAGCUCACAGCCACAAUGAGACCGUCACAGACCCACUAUGAUGACUGUAACCAUUACCCAAACUGAUACCAGUCAUCAGUUAACAAGCCCAAGUGUCAGCUUUGUUUUGCACUGAAACACAUCAGCCUUAGAUGAUGUAUUUUCCUGAAUUCACUGGUGACUUAAUUAGUGCACGGCCAUUUUUUGGUGCGUCUGUGUUUAUAUCCCUUAUGGUUUUAUGUUGGUCUACUUUUCAGAACAUUUUACAUCAUCUAGCACUGCAGAGGGAUAUAUAUCUGAUUGAUUGUGGUCUUGUUUUUGUGUUUAUGGCAACUUGUAAACACGUGUGAUAGAUAAUCCAGUUCAGUGCAUUGUUGUGAGUGCUGCUGUGUUUGUGUGUGAUGGAGAGACAGAGUGAGUGUUGUCUGAGAUAGGCUGAGCUGCCCUCCCUGUCCUGCUGCCUCCUUCCUUUGUCUCUAUCCUCUGGGGGAGAACAGCUCCACUGGCAAACAGCAAACAAUAGAGACGAGUGGCUCUGUCUAACCUGCCUUUUCUCCUCGUCUCUGUAACCUGCCGUCUCGCUUUGAGCCUCACCUCGACUCAGGUUGCCCAGGACUGGAGGACUGCGGACCAUGUGGAGGGGAGCAGCAGUGUGCCUGAUCCUGAUCCUGAUCCUGUCUACAAGGCCUGCCAGGGACAAUAGAAAUGUGGCCAGCAGUGAUUUUUGUCUUACUUUACGACAUCCCUGCAUCCCCUUCCUGAGGAGUUCUCACCCCUCUCUGCCCACCUCCUGCUGCUCCCUCCUGUGUGCAGUGAUGGUGGUGGUGGUGGGGGCUCUCGCUGCCGUGGGGGCUGGGCGCUCAAACAAUAGUGCCGAUCUAGGAAUUGAAAGCCUUCGAUGAACAGAAAAGCAAGGAAGCAGGCAGGGAAGGUGCAGACAGAAGGAUAAAGCAGGCAUGGCUCAGCCCACUUAUAUAUAGUAGGUGGGUUUUCCAACUAUACAAGGACACUGCAAUGUCACACAAACAUAACAUAUAUCUAUGAAUUCAUACUGAAAUGUUCAUGGUAAAUAUGUAGAAAUAUAUUUCUUCAGGUAUGCACAUAUGAAUGCCUGGAGAAGAAGAAUAUUAUAUGUCAUUGAUAAACAAAUCAAUUAUGGAAAGCACAAUUAAUUAGAAUUUGCUGAACCCUGGAGCAGCAGAGGAAAAAAAGACGAGUUUUGGCAUUGUGAUGGAAGCGUGCCUGUAUAGGGGGAGAGAUAGAGAGCUUCAUUUAUUUUCAUUAGCAGCAUCUAUGGACCAGACUCAUGCCUGCUGCGAGCUCUGAUGCUGCUCUGACUGCUGCUCCAUGCAUAAACAUAUAUCCCCAAGACGUCUGUCCUUGCUCGGCUACAGCCAAGCCUCUGUCACGCAAGGUUAAUUUUACCUCCGUCUCCCCUCUUUCCAUUUUUCACAUCCCUCCUAUACAAUUCAUGCCAUUCAUCAACCAUCUCGCAGAGGACGGCCAGGCCGAGUACCUGCAGCAGCUCUCCAGGGUGCUGAAUAGGACGACUGUGGGGUAGAAGGAGUGAGCUGUUGGGGGGGAGGGCUGCUGCAGCGAGCUUUGCUAUAUUAAUUCCUCAUACUAGGCACGGUGGUAUGGAAUGAUUGCAUGCAUGCAGGCAGGGAGGAGGGAGACGUAGACCUGCCAUUACAAUAAACUGACAAGUCCUCCAUUAGUGGGGAAGACUCGCUGACAAUGUCAUUCCUCAUUUGCUCAGACAGACAGAGAAAGGGCCUGUCAAAUAUGCAGUUUCUGACAUAUUUGUUUUACCUAACGAAUCCUUUUAUGGCGACUUGUUUUAGAACCGUAAACAUGUUUUUAUACCAAUUGUCUCUCUAAUGUGACUUCCAGUCACUGUAAGGCAGUAGGCCAGUAAACAAAGCUGUAGCCAUCUCCUCGUAGAGGUCAAAUUUGAGGACUGAAUCUUAAACAAUCACUGAUGAGGCAAGGCUUUCUUUCUUCUCCAAUCAUGGUGAACAGCCCCACCUGAUGGUGUGGUCUCGGUACAACAUGCUCUGUUGUCUAACAGAGACAUGAUGUGUAGUGCAAGCAGUCCUCUAGAUGCUGCUAUUGUGCAUUUUGUUUUCUAAUGAGAUUAA
Molecule: long non-coding RNA, 2501 nt
Organism: Sebastes umbrosus (honeycomb rockfish)
Lineage: Eukaryota; Metazoa; Chordata; Actinopteri; Perciformes; Sebastidae
Exons: 5
Source: RefSeq, a predicted model, not a curated record